UGCAAGUCGAGCGGACAGAUGGGAGCUUGCUCCCUGAUGUUAGCGGCGGACGGGUGAGUAACACGUGGGUAACCUGCCUGUAAGACUGGGAUAACUCCGGGAAACCGGGGCUAAUACCGGAUGGUUGUCUGAACCGCAUGGUUCAGACAUAAAAGGUGGCUUCGGCUACCACUUACAGAUGGACCCGCGGCGCAUUAGCUAGUUGGUGAGGUAACGGCUCACCAAGGCGACGAUGCGUAGCCGACCUGAGAGGGUGAUCGGCCACACUGGGACUGAGACACGGCCCAGACUCCUACGGGAGGCAGCAGUAGGGAAUCUUCCGCAAUGGACGAAAGUCUGACGGAGCAACGCCGCGUGAGUGAUGAAGGUUUUCGGAUCGUAAAGCUCUGUUGUUAGGGAAGAACAAGUGCCGUUCAAAUAGGGCGGCACCUUGACGGUACCUAACCAGAAAGCCACGGCUAACUACGUGCCAGCAGCCGCGGUAAUACGUAGGUGGCAAGCGUUGUCCGGAAUUAUUGGGCGUAAAGGGCUCGCAGGCGGUUUCUUAAGUCUGAUGUGAAAGCCCCCGGCUCAACCGGGGAGGGUCAUUGGAAACUGGGGAACUUGAGUGCAGAAGAGGAGAGUGGAAUUCCACGUGUAGCGGUGAAAUGCGUAGAGAUGUGGAGGAACACCAGUGGCGAAGGCGACUCUCUGGUCUGUAACUGACGCUGAGGAGCGAAAGCGUGGGGAGCGAACAGGAUUAGAUACCCUGGUAGUCCACGCCGUAAACGAUGAGUGCUAAGUGUUAGGGGGGUUUCCGCCCCUUAGUGCUGCAGCUAACGCAUUAAGCACUCCGCCUGGGGAGUA
This 846-nucleotide ribosomal RNA is filed under the name Bacillus sp. R43B. RNAcentral describes it as "bacterial SSU rRNA". It matches the Rfam family "Bacterial small subunit ribosomal RNA", at positions 56 to 882 of the family's 1533-position model. Lineage: Bacteria; Bacillati; Bacillota; Bacilli; Caryophanales; Bacillaceae. The record is from RNAcentral.